CAUCCUCCAAGGCUAAAUACUCCUGACUGACCGAUAGUGAACCAGUACCGUGAGGGAAAGGCGAAAAGAACCCCGGCGAGGGGAGUGAAAAAGAACCUGAAACCGUGUACGUACAAGCAGUGGGAGCCCCACCACUAAGCCAGUGGUGAACUCCACAUACGCAUCCUUUGCUGAGGAUACGGUUAACGGAGCGAAAGCGACGUUCAACCUCAAAAGAAGCAGAGGGGGCUUAGUGGUGGGGUGACUGCGUACCUUUUGUAUAAUGGGUCAGCGACUUAUAUUCUGUAGCAAGGUUAACCGCAUAGGGGAGCCGGAGGGAAACCGAGUCUUAAUUGGGCGUUAAGUUGCAGGGUAUAGACCCGAAACCCGGUGAUCUAGCCAUGGGCAGGUUGAAGGUUGGGUAACACUAACUGGAGGACCGAACCGACUAAUGUUGAAAAAUUAGCGGAUGACCUGUGGCUGGGGGUGAAAGGCCAAUCAAACCGGGAGAUAGCUGGUUCUCCCCGAAAGCUAUUUAGGUAGCGCCUCGUGAAUUCAUCUCCGGGGGUAGAGCACUGUUUCGGCUAGGGGGCCAUCCCGGCUUACCAACCCGAUGCAAACUGCGAAUACCGGAGAAUGUUAUCACGGGAGACACACGGCGGGUGCUAACGUCCGUCGUGAAGAGGGAAACAACCCAGACCGCCAGCUAAGGUCCCAAAGUCAUGGUUAAGUGGGAAACGAUGUGGGAAGGCCCAGACAGCCAGGAUGUUGGCUUAGAAGCAGCCAUCAUUUAAAGAAAGCGUAAUAGCUCACUGGUCGAGUCGGCCUGCGCGGAAGAUGUAACGGGGCUAAACCAUGCACCGAAGCUGCGGCAGCGA
This 857-nucleotide ribosomal RNA is filed under the name Salmonella enterica subsp. enterica serovar Lubbock. RNAcentral's name for it is "partial 23S ribosomal RNA". It matches the Rfam family "Bacterial large subunit ribosomal RNA", at positions 454 to 1211 of the family's 2925-position model. Lineage: Bacteria; Pseudomonadati; Pseudomonadota; Gammaproteobacteria; Enterobacterales; Enterobacteriaceae. The record is from RNAcentral.